Non-coding RNA from Carica papaya (papaya), 735 nucleotides. Lineage: Eukaryota; Viridiplantae; Streptophyta; Magnoliopsida; Brassicales; Caricaceae. The record is from RefSeq and is a predicted model, not a curated record.
UUUUGCUCCCUUAAACCAUUGUUUGAGUGCUCCAAUCCAAGCCCGCCCCGACAAAAGCUUUUCCGGGGAGAGAUUUUCUAUUAGAAACAGGUUCUUCCAAGCACAAGCGCUCUCUGCUCGCUCUUCCCGCUCUAAAUCCAGCUUCCUGAAGCUUCAACUGUUUUCAUUAUCCUCCGGCUUUCUCUCUGUAAGUUUUGGUUGGUUUCUCUCCCUCUCUUUCUCUCUCUGUAUCUAUAUAUAUACACAUAUAUACGGACACAGAGAAUCUGAAAGAGAGAGUUGAAAACAUGGCGGACGUGAUGUUGAUCAAUGAGAUAUAGGUGGCAGCGCCAUGGCUGGGAAUCGAUGUAUCCCACGUGCAUUACGAUUUCGGCAUCAUUAGCACUUCUGACAGAAACAAUACCUAGUUCUCUGUUGUUUCCAUGGAAGUCGAAACAGGAAUUAUUAGCUUUUCGAAUAAUGUGACACCCAAUUUCUGCAAUCCAAGGGAAACUAAGCUUUUCAUCAUCCACAAUGUCUAGAUGUUUAUUUCCAAAUUUCUAAGUCGGCAAAUUGACUUAAUUUCUCCUAUUUCGUUUGUCAUGGAAUUAAUAAGUACAAAUAACUAACUUUUCUCCAAUUAGAAACACUUGAUGAUAUACCUCAUUCGUGAGCUGAGUAAUCCUUGAGAUGCAAAUAUGAGCUGUUUUUCUUCUUAAUCUCAUAUGAGUAUUUAUGUAAGUUGUUGUGCUUAAU